Molecule: non-coding RNA, 45 nt
Organism: Oikopleura dioica
Lineage: Eukaryota; Metazoa; Chordata; Appendicularia; Copelata; Oikopleuridae
Source: Rfam
AAACCGGCCCUUUUUAGGGCCACAAAUUCAAACAUGUUUUUACUG